Molecule: ribosomal RNA, 253 nt
Filed under: uncultured bacterium
Lineage: Bacteria
Description: partial 16S ribosomal RNA
Rfam family: Bacterial small subunit ribosomal RNA
Source: RNAcentral
UACAGAGGGGGCAAGCGUUAUUCGGAAUUAUUGGGCGUAAAGGGCGCGUAGGCGGCUAUUCAAGUGGCGGGUGAAAUCCCUCGGCUUAACCGAGGAACUGCGUGUGAGACUGGAUGGCUUGAGUUUGGGAGAGGAAUGCGGAAUUCCAGGUGUAGCGGUGAAAUGCGUAGAUAUCUGGAGGAACACCGGUGGCGAAGGCGGCAUUCUGGACCAACACUGACGCUGAGGAGCGAAAGCCAGGGGAGCAAACGGG